CAGUCGCCACGGGAAUACAGAGGGUGCAAGCGUUAAUCGGAAUUACUGGGCGUAAAGCGUGCGUAGGUGGUGGUUUAAGUCCGUUGUGAAAGCCCUGGGCUCAACCUGGGAAUUGCAGUGGAUACUGGGUCACUAGAGUGUGGUAGAGGAUAGUGGAAUUUCCGGUGUAGCAGUGAAAUGCGUAGAGAUCGGAAGGAACAUCUGUGGCGAAGGCGACUAUCUGGGCCAACACUGACACUGAGGCACGAAAGCGUGGGGAGCAAACAGGAUUAGAUACCCCAGUAGUCCCUGUCUCUUAUAC
RNAcentral lists this ribosomal RNA (301 nucleotides) under uncultured bacterium. RNAcentral's name for it is "partial 16S ribosomal RNA". It matches the Rfam family "Bacterial small subunit ribosomal RNA", at positions 509 to 807 of the family's 1533-position model. The record is from RNAcentral.